UUUAAGGCCUGAUGCAAUGUCUGCACAUGUCUGCACAUGUUUGCUUGGUGGGAUAAUUACCUGAAAGUAUUUGUGUUUACACGGCCGGCGCCAGCUUCUUCCUCCCUAUCGGCCAGGCGAGGUGGUCAGCGGGAAGGCAGUGGCAUCUCUUCUCCCAGUUCCUUGGAUGUUGGACCUUGAUUCUUUUGCUGAAACUUGAAUAUAGGCAACUAAACUACAUAUGCUUCUCUGAAAUAAUUCGUCAAGUUUAAUCUAUUUUUUGGUGAUUAAGUAAAUGGGAUUUUCUGAAUAUAUUGCUGAAGUGAUCAUUACUAAAUUAGGAUGGCAAGGAGGAGGUCAUCCAAGCAUGGUACAUGGAUGACAGUGAAGAAGUCCAACUGCUUCCUCAUCACCGCGAUGGUCACCGCCGGUCGCGGGCGUCGCGGUGCGAAGAGCAGGUGGGGCCGCAUCAGCCGUCGCCUUGGGUCGCUGCCGUCGUCGCGGCUCCUCCAUGCCAUGGUCGUUGCACAGCGCCAUGGAGCGCAUCUCCAACAAAUCGCGAAUCCGGGACAUGACGUGGAUCCGCUCCGUCGACGACCGGAGGCGACGGGCUCGCGCGGGGCAGAUCCGCAGCGGUGGCGACUGGAGGCGCCGGGCGUGGCCGAAGACGGGCCGGCGCGGGGCGGAUCCGCUCCGGCGAAUACCAGAGGCGAAGGGGCAAGGCGGCGGCCGCUCCAUCCUUCCCCACGUGCUGGUUGUGCUGAUUCCGGGCUGGAUAGGUCGGUGCUGGACCUCAAGGGCGUCUGCUCCAC
Long non-coding RNA from Lolium rigidum, 791 nucleotides. RefSeq lists it as uncharacterized. The transcript has 3 exons. The record is from RefSeq and is a predicted model, not a curated record. Lineage: Eukaryota; Viridiplantae; Streptophyta; Magnoliopsida; Poales; Poaceae.